This 1054-nucleotide long non-coding RNA is filed under the name Mytilus galloprovincialis (Mediterranean mussel). The record is from RNAcentral. Lineage: Eukaryota; Metazoa; Mollusca; Bivalvia; Mytilida; Mytilidae.
AAUAUCAUAAAGUUUAUGUCUGUAUUAAAUAUAUAGGUAGUAGAUUUUAUUAUGAACAGUCAUGAUAUUAAAAGCAUUUUUAUGCCAAUCAAAAAUCUAAGAUGACUGCUAUCUUAACAUAAAUACCUAAAGAACUUUUUGAGUAGUUUGUAUGUUUGUAACAUUUUACUGUUCAAUGGUAUGUCAUAUAAACACAUACUGGUUUGAAACAGACUCCAUUCCUCAAUGUACAGAACAUGCAUUAUUUUUCUGUGAACCUAAUAUAUUUCAAUUUAUUUUUGUGUAAGAACUAUAGCAGAUUUUUUUUUGAUUGUAUGAAGAGGGCAUAAAAUUCAAUAUUUUCAUGCUUCAUCUACAUAGAUAGUAACAUUCUUCACAGCCUUGAAUGUAACUUUAGGUUAAUUUCCUCUGAAGCUCUUUUGUUUCAGCUAAAAGAAUGGCAUUUUUUCAUACUGAUAUUGAUUCAAGUAAUGUAAUGAUCUUGCCUGGAACAUGAUAUAUAUUUUGCUUUGUUUUAACUUUGACUGUGAUAUCGUUUAUCGAAAGUUGUAUAUACAUUUUUAACAUUUUAUGCAUUGGCUAUUUCCAGGACAUGUUAGUACUAUUUACAUUCUAUAUUUGAUAUGUUUAUCAAGUAUCGGCAAGUGCUUUGCCUAGAACAAGAGAGAGAAUUAUUUUUCAAAAGAGCAAACAUUUUUUGUAAAUUGUUGAAACUAUCUCCUCACUGAAUUUUCUUUAUUUUUUACUUCUAUUUUUGAGAGGACACAUUAGGGAAUGAACAUUUUGGUGAAAAAGCAUGAAAGGAUAUUCCUCCCCUGUAGUUCUUUUCUUGUAAAAAAAAAUCAUUCAGUUCAAUUUAUUAUGGGGUUUACUGAUGUGUUAACAGAGGGUAAAGAAUCACUGUUAUUACUUUAUGAACUUUUAAGGGUACAUAAUUCUAUCUGUCAGAGUAAUCAUAUAAAUGGUAUAUAGAGGUUUCCUCCAUUUGGAUAUUUCAGUUUUAUGGUACAACUUUUUCAGUCAUAAAGUUGAACAUCUGCUAUCUUGCUCUGUC